This 320-nucleotide long non-coding RNA is filed under the name Physcomitrium patens. RNAcentral's name for it is "long non-coding RNA (PPAT_LNC004915)". Lineage: Eukaryota; Viridiplantae; Streptophyta; Bryopsida; Funariales; Funariaceae. The record is from RNAcentral.
CAAUUUUGUCAAACACAUCCACUUUAAAAUUGUUGAUUAAGAUGCUGCCGAUGUUAUAAUAUCUAUAAAAAUAUGAUGUAUCAGUGUGGUCGGAAUGAAGUAUAGUGCUGUUGCACGGAUUCGAGAGCUAUGACUUAAUAAACUCUUUAGCCCACUCAACAAAUAGAUUCUUCCUCAAUCGGGUUUCACCGUCUUAAUAGUCCUUGGCUUAUGAAACAAUCUUUAUAUUCUUCUAGUCUUUUUUUCGACCAUGCAUAAGGUCCACUAGCAUCUUCUAUUGACGAAGCUCCCAAAUCUUGAUUGCAAGAGAAUCCACAUCU